Molecule: ribosomal RNA, 622 nt
Filed under: uncultured bacterium
Lineage: Bacteria
Description: bacterial SSU rRNA
Rfam family: Bacterial small subunit ribosomal RNA
Source: RNAcentral
GACGAACGCUGGCGGCGUGCUUAACACAUGCAAGUCGAACGAGAAUCACCGGAAGGAGUUUUCGGACAACGGAAGGUGAGGAAAGUGGCGGACGGGUGAGUAACGCGUGAGGAACCUGCCUCGGAGUGGGGGACAACAGCUGGAAACGGCUGCUAAUACCGCAUAAUGUAUUUGUGUCGCAUGGCAUGGAUACCAUAUUUUUUAUCUUUUCUGAGAUGGCCUCGCGUCUGAUUAGAUAGUUGGUGGGGUAACGGCCCACCAAGUCGACGAUCAGUAGCCGGACUGAGAGGUUGAACGGCCACAUUGGGACUGAGAUACGGCCCAGACUCCUACGGGAGGCAGCAGUGGGGAAUAUUGGGCAAUGGGCGCAAGCCUGACCCAGCAACGCCGCGUGAAGGAGAAGCUUUCGGGUUGUAACUUCUUUUACGGGAGAGCAGAGACGUACCCCUAGAUAGCCACGGCUACUACUGCACACCGCGUAUACUUAGUGGCAGCGUGUCCCGAUUACUUGGGUGUAAAGGCGGCACCGGGUGAGCAGUCAGGCGGAUGAGCUACCCACCGCUUGACUUCUUGUCCAGGCCCGAUCCUUGGCGUGCCAUUAGACUAGUUGCAUUGACGAAUC